GGCAAUUUAAUACCGUCUUCUGUUUCGCUCUCUCAGCGAAGCCUUGUAAAUCGCAAAGUGUUUCGAAUAGGCUUAAAUGCAACUGCAUCUCUACAUCAACCAAAAGAUAAUUUUCUUGAGGAACAUAUAACGUAUCAAGUCUGUUUGAAAUUAAUGAAACUCAAGUAAAGGUUACUAUAGUCUACCCCAGUCGUAAUGAGUGCUAUUCCAACACCUUACGACAAGCAAUCCCCAUUGGCAUAACGGCAAAAACAUCUCUUCCUUCAAGUAAACAAUAAACAGUCUGUUCUUGUUCCAUUUAUAAUCGAAAAAAGUGAUCAUGCAAUUUUCGAAUUUUAAGCUUAUCGAGAGCCUUUGUGAUGAAUCACUUAUCUAAUUAUAGAAUCUAACAGCAAACAGCCAAUCAGAAUGCCGCGUUCGUGGGCGAACGCGGAAAGUACAAAAUACCGGGCCUUGCUUGCAGGCCCACUGUCAAGUUUCCUUGAGCCUGCUCCCUUGGGCCUGCACGCGGGCUAGCUCUGAUAUAAAAUCCAGUCUUCAUUUUCGGAUUGCAAAUAUUACGUAUGUAAUCUGAUCGAACUAUUCGAUAUAUAUUUCUGUUCAUUUAGGACGGUCAGGUGAUAUGUUUCCAAGACAAGGACUGUUUCCAAGCAGGUAUAGCAAAAGAGAUGACUGCGCGCGGCGCAAAAACUUUGUCGUUAACGUGAAUUUUCUGUUCGAUUUUACUAAAUUAUUUUUGCCGUAAAUAUUUUGGGCCUAAUCGUGUGAGCUCAGCUUAAAGAUGCGGUACAGUCCGAUCUGCACAUGUGCACAAAGGAGCCCUCUUUUUAUUAUACAAACAGUUUAUUUAGGUUUUUAUUUCAUUUUAUGGUCUUGCAAAGCUUAAUUGUUGUGUCUUGAUAAUUUAUUAUACUCUAGAAUCAUGAAAAUAUAAAGAGUUGUCGAAUAAAAUUCAAUAUUUUGGAUACUGACAUGUAAACAAAGCCUUUGUUUACAUACGAACUGUACCGCAUCUUUAAGACAUUCUUGGAAUCUUGCUUCUUUUCAUUUCAUUUCUCCUCGCUAUAGCUGACAGCUUUUUUAAUUUUUAAGUAAUUCUGCGUUAAUGUUAAAAAUAAAGUAAACAUUUAUACAAAGUUGCCAGUUUUUUUAGUACAAUCGCAGGUUAUAAAUGGUCUGUGAUGUGUCUGGUCUGUGUAGCUAUAGGUAGUGACAAUAACAAGAAAGCUUCGGAUUGAUAUAGGGAUACAACUAUACCUGAAAAAUACAAGCAGAACUUCGACGUUCCGAGCGAAGGGCCGUCUCUCGAAACGUCCAAGUCCUCCUUGUAUUUUUCAGGUAGUUGCAUCCCUACCAAUCCGAAGCUUUCUUGUAGUUGUACUUCCAUUCUCUACAGUUUUGCAAAGUCAAAGUUAUAAUAAUAUAAGCGCAUGAGCCUACAUCUGGGGACGGCAAUAUGUGUGUGUGCGCGGGGGGGGGGGCGGGGUAUGAUAAAUUUCCAAAAUCCUUUAAUGUAGUAACUCCGUGUGUAUAACCCAGAGUUGGACCAGGAUGCAACUGUGUCUGGUUUCUGCUUGUAUUUCUGACUAACUCGCUGCACAAUAAAAUACUAACAAUUUAAAAACUUCUGCAAUUUAGAUUCACCAGCGCGCAGCCUAGGCGAAGGUGAAAAUAUUGAACCCACUGUCACACCAAAAUCACCAUGAGGUAGGUAUGUACACAUUAUCAAAAGGAGAAA
This 1738-nucleotide long non-coding RNA is filed under the name Paramuricea clavata. The record is from RNAcentral. Lineage: Eukaryota; Metazoa; Cnidaria; Anthozoa; Malacalcyonacea; Plexauridae.